RNAcentral lists this ribosomal RNA (493 nucleotides) under uncultured bacterium. RNAcentral describes it as "partial 16S ribosomal RNA". It matches the Rfam family "Bacterial small subunit ribosomal RNA", at positions 29 to 523 of the family's 1533-position model. The record is from RNAcentral.
AUUGAACGCUGGCGGCAUGCUUUACGCAUGCAAGUCGAACGGUAACAGGUUAAGCUGACGAGUGGCGAACGGGUGAGUAAUGCAUCGGAACGUGCCCGAUCGUGGGGGAUAACGCAGCGAAAGCUGCGCUAAUACCGCAUACGAUCUGAGGAUGAAAGCGGGGGACCGUAAGGCCUCGCGCGAUCGGAGCGGCCGAUGUCAGAUUAGGUAGUUGGUGGGGUAAAGGCCCACCAAGCCGACGAUCUGUAGCUGGUCUGAGAGGACGACCGGCCACACUGGGACUGAGACACGGCCCAGACUCCUACGGGAGGCAGCAGUGGGGAAUUUUGGACAAUGGGCGAAAGCCUGAUCCAGCAAUGCCGCGUGCAGGAAGAAGGCCUUCGGGUUGUAAACUGCUUUUGUACGGAGCGAAAAGGUCCUUUCUAAUACAAGGGGCUCAUGACGGUACCGUAAGAAUAAGCACCGGCUAACUACGUGCCAGCCGCCGCCGUAA